UAUCAAGAUUAUACAUUCAGAACAUAGAGGUCAUACCAGGAAACAGCCACAGGCGCUAUUUUGAACCAGCUGUCUCCUGGCCAUGGUUUUACAAUAUGCAUUUUGUUCCAAGAAAAUCCUGAGAACUUUGAUUAGAGCAAAACUAAAAAGUUCUUUAUCUAGAGUCUUCAGAAAGUGCCAGAUCCUGCUCCAGUGAAAGUGAAUGUAAAACAAAAAUUCACCUUGACUUCAGUGAGAGGAGGAUUGGGACCUAAAGCUCUUGCAAGGUAUUGAAGAGGUGCGAAGGGGAAAAAAAAUCAGUCCUGGAAAUGAAUCCUCUGGAAAAGCCCACUAAAACUGGCUAGUGAUUAAACCAAUAUGGUUGCAUAGGAACUGAGAAAGGUUUAUAUAGUCUACACUCAAAACAGACCUGAUUCUCAUUUGCACUAUUGCCACUUUCUAUUGUUCUGGCAGCAUAAAUGAGCCUUAAAGAGAGCAUAAAUUACAUUUGUGCUCACUUUAUGGCCUCUUUAUACUGCUAACAGGCCCUUACUGUAAAUGAAAAUUUCAUGGAGAAUGAGAUCUUUCUAUAGACUGUUUCAGACCAUUUUAUAGAACUAUAACAGUGGGGUAUAAUUCUCCAUUGCAUUCUAUUGCCAAGCUUAAGAUCUUCAUUCUCUAUUAAAUUCGGUUGGACUUUUCCAGAAGGCUGGGGCCUGGUUAUUUAAUCCCUUAGUCAUGCAAGCAGUCCUCGGAACAUAUGUAAGCAGGGAUGUUGCAUGCAUAACACACAAAGCAUCAUCUUUACUCUGGGUUUGAGGUAUUUUGAUGUUGUGUUAUGCAAAUACUAAAGUUAUAAUAAGAACAACAAAAAAGGAACUGAGAUACACAGCAUACUACUUAGCAAAAUGUUGCAUUCUAAAACUGACCAUGAACCAAGGCAAUGACUGUUUCUUAUAAGCCAUAAAUCUCUGAGAUUUGCACAAUCCUCCUCCUCCUCCCGCUCCACUAGUACUAAAAUGAAACUAGACUUUGGAGGAAGGGGAACUGCCGCGAUUUGGCUUUACAUGACAGAUGAGGAACACAGUAGCUGAAAUGUACAGACAUUGUAAGCAAGCCCACUCUUUGACUGUGCCUUCACGUGAUCACCAUCUGAGCCUUGCCAGCUCCAUCUAGCUCUAUGUGGGCAGCUACUUGGAGCUUUGCCUAAAAGAGAGAGCUACAGAAGAGCUCUGGAAACGUAGUUAAGUACUAGGACUAACUUUUUCACCUACUGAGUCUGCUAAAUUGUAUAAUGUUUCCAUGGGGCUUCUAAAAUCGGAAACCAUUAUGUUUGUGUGUUAGAAGCCGUUAUGCAUAUAUUCUAUAUUUAAGUCUGGGAUGUCAGCUCCCCUUGAAAUUUUCAUACACUCCCUCCACACACCCACAUGUGCUUAUGUCUGGAAAAUGUUUUUAGAUAUUAGUAGAGUGUGUGGGUAGGGGGGUAUUCAAGGGAGACACUGAGGAACAACAGUAAAGCACUAUUUAAGCAUGAAGUUUAAAAACCUCCUUAAGGAGAUGGAACAGUAUUACCAGUAUGUACAUUGUGGCUUUCUAUAAUACUUAUACUAUAUAUAGAGAGAGAAAUAUUAUGUGUGGACCAGAUCAUCAGUUAGGGUAAAUCACCAUAACUCUGGUGAACUCUAGAAUCUGGCCUUGCAUGUUCCUAUAUCAUAAAUCAUGAGAGAACUCCAUGUUUCUACUCUGCUAAUCAAAGAUCUCUGACCAGUUAUAACAGGUUGGAACUGUAUAUUUAGCUAACUUUUGCUGACAUAAUUUUUACAAAGCUGUAUCUGUUACUAAUACAUGCUUACCUUAAUUAUAGCACCUGUAGCAAGUUAUUGGAAUUAUUAAUUGUGAAUUAUUAAUUGUGCCGAGUCUAUAGUUAUUACCAUAGCAUUUUUAUUUUUUCCCUACAAUUCCCAGUGAUCACUAACGUUUAUCCACGUGUACAAUUCAAAUCUGUAGUUUGAAAGCUGGGACUAUACAAAUAUAAACAAAAACAAAGGUUUGUAUUGAUGGGUGUGUGUGUGUGUGUGUGUGUGUGUAAUGUUAUGCCUUUGUCUGAAGAAACAGUUAAAAGAUUCAUUUAAAUGUAUUUCGGGUUGGGUUUUUUUUUAAAGGAGAUAUGUAUAAUGCAUAUUUCAUUUGUUAACAUAAUGCUUCUAUAUUCCAUGAAGCCAUCUACAUUUGAGCACAGCUAUUAAAGUGUGCUUAAAGUGAUUGACUGUGAUAGAGCAUGAGCUGAGAUGCAUCAAAACUCACAAAUUAGUGUCUACUUCAAAAACUGGAUUCUCAGCUGACAGGAGUUAAUGCUCAUUUGCACUCCAAUAUUCCUGCCACUGUCUCCAGGUUAGCACAUUGCAUAAAUGUUAGAAGGUUGGGUUGCUAAUGUGUAGACAAAUGGGAACAGAGAGUGAGCUGGGGGAAUAAUCUGCAGAAGAUGACUUGAAUACACACACAUCCUUCAGUCAGAUAUAUUAUGAAUGACAAGCACUGUGAUGACCUCAAAUUACUGGAUGUAUGGAGAAUGACACAGAUUAAGCCAGAGCUCAGCAGCAUUGAGGGCCCUAGUUAUAUUAGAAAUGGAAUAUUUUAGCAAGCCAGUUUUCAACUGAGCUUCACUCAGUUGUGCAAAGAGAAUCUUCUCUGAAAUGUUCCAAAGUUAAUAGAAUAGGGAUAUAACACAGGAUUUCUCUUUUGCCAGAAUUGUACCUAAAAGAAAUCUAUACUGGAUAUUUUUCCCCAUAGCCAGCUGCUCCUGGUGGAUACAGCCUGAAUGGGAUCAGUAGUGAGCUCUCCCUUAAAGAAGCCUGUCAGUUUGGGAUCCAGUUUUGCCUGGCAUAUAUACACAUGGCUCCCAUAGAUUUCACUGGGAGCUUUGCGGGGAAGAGAGACUUGACGUUUCCAUCUCUUCCUUUCUGGUCAUGUAAGUGAUGAUGUCCUGCAGUGUGCUGCAAAUCCUCAUUGAAAAAUAGCCAUGAUUCUGACGCUGGGCCAAAGUCAGCCCAUAAAGAUGUGUAUGCAACUCGUGUGGACUCAAAUUGGAGUUACAUGUAUGUAUAGAAAGGCUCUCCAGGUGUAUCUGGCACAUUAUGUUAAAAUCAACAGAAGACAAUAUUAAAAGGACAGUGCCAAGUACUUUUUGCCCCAGAUUUAGACCAUGUUAAAUAAUUGGGGGGGGGAGUUUAGUUGGGGGAAGAGUUACAAAACUUGAUGAGCCUUCAAUGAGAGUUGCAGAUGCUUGACACUUCUUGGGUAUAUGGCCCAAUGAUAGUGUAAGGGCCAGAUCCUCAACUGAUGCGACUCAGUCUAGCUCCAUUGACUUCAACAGAGCAAUACCAGUUUACUCCAACUGAAGAUCUGGCCCUAAUGAAAUGUUUCUAAAAAUGCUGCAGUGGAAAUAUUUUUAAAAUUAAUUUAAACAUUCUGCCCCCUGCACCCCAGUGCUGUGAAUCCAAACACAAGAGCUCUGGGCUAACAUAAAAGAACCAGCAACUGAAACAGACUGGAGAGUGAAACUGUCUGGUCUACUUUCACUAUCGAAGUCUAGUUGUUUAAAAAAAAAAAAGAAAGAAAGAAACAACAUACAUGGUUUAAAAAAAAAAGGAAUUUGUUUUUAAAGUAACUCAUUCAGUUUCAAUUACCUAAAGUGUUACUAAUAGCAGGGGGUCAGGAAUUUUAACCAGUUUACACUGGGCCAGAUUCUCAGCUGGUGUACCUCUGUGCAGUGCUGGUUAAGCUACACCAGCUGAGGAGUUGGCCGAUCCAUUUUAUUUAGCAAUGUCCUUUGGUAUUUUAACUGAAAUUAAGCUUUAUAAUCUAAUUUUGGUUGGUUGUGUCACAUUCAUAUGUAUCCUAUUUGUUAAGAUAGCUGUUUCCAGAUUUAGGUUCUUGUGUGCAAAAAAUAAAUAAAAAAUUAUGACUUCUGAUAGUAAAAGCUAUGCCUCCGAUUUAAAAAGACUUUUAUCUUUACUGCAUUUCUAAUAAAAACUUUUCAUUUGCUCCAA
This is a long non-coding RNA of Dermochelys coriacea (leatherback sea turtle), 4028 nucleotides long. RefSeq lists it as uncharacterized. The record is from RefSeq and is a predicted model, not a curated record. The transcript is spliced from 2 exons. Lineage: Eukaryota; Metazoa; Chordata; Testudines; Dermochelyidae.